UUGAAGACUGUAUGAGAAGGUGAAAAAUAGCACUUGCUGGGAACUGAUCAAUAAUAUCAAAAUUCAUUGAUCUAAGAGAGAAGAUAAUGAUUUAAUUUUGUACAUGCUGAGUUUGAGGAUGCAGAUCCAAGCAAAACUCAAAACACAGUGUUCAACACAGAGUACUGGACUCUUGCUAAUUAAAGUGAGGUACACGGAAACGGAACAUCAACAUCAUCCUAGAACUUGUUAGAAAUGCAGAAUCUGGGGCUCCAUCCCAGACCUUCCAGGAAAAGCCUCUUUCCUCUUCUUCUGGGUUGGUGCUAGGCCUCCCAGAGGAGCAAAUCAUGACCGCUGGGGAGAAGAAGGCAACGCAGCUUCAAAGACCUGCCCCAAAUCCAUCAAAAACAGUAA
Long non-coding RNA from Gorilla gorilla gorilla (western lowland gorilla), 393 nucleotides. RefSeq lists it as uncharacterized. The record is from RefSeq and is a predicted model, not a curated record. The transcript has 4 exons. Lineage: Eukaryota; Metazoa; Chordata; Mammalia; Primates; Hominidae.